Molecule: ribosomal RNA, 253 nt
Filed under: uncultured bacterium
Lineage: Bacteria
Description: partial 16S ribosomal RNA
Rfam family: Bacterial small subunit ribosomal RNA
Source: RNAcentral
UACGAAGGGGGCUAGCGUUGCUCGGAAUCACUGGGCGUAAAGGGUGCGUAGGCGGGUCUUUAAGUCAGUGGUGAAAGCCUGGAGCUCAACUCCAGAACUGCCUUUGAUACUGAGGAUCUCGAGUUCGGGAGAGGUGAGUGGAACUGCGAGUGUAGAGGUGAAAUUCGUAGAUAUUCGCAAGAACACCAGUGGCGAAGGCGGCUCACUGGCCCGAUACUGACGCUGAGGCACGAAAGCGUGGGGAGCAAACAGG